AUUUUAUUUACCGCUAUUGUUUUGGAUUAGUUUAUUGUAUUAUUGUUUACUAAUUAUUGUUUACUAACUUUGUUAAUAUAUUUUUAUGUUAUUUUUUAAACAAAACAUAUACCGAGAGUGUUAAGUAAAACAUGUACAAAGGCUUCAUUCCAAACAGUUAUGCAUGUCUAAGAUGAAGAUGAUGAAGAUUUGCUUUCACAUCAGAGUAAUGUUUGUGAAUACAUCAAACAUUUUAUUAGAGUCAUGACUUUGUAAAACUUAAUGAAAAAAACUGUCUAGUAAAAGACUUUUAUUUAAAAAAAAUCUCUGUUAAGUUUAGAAUUAUUCAACUAAAAUUUAAUCUAAAAGAUAACUUCUAGAAAAAGUUGUUGUGCAUACACCUCGAUGUGUUCUUUUUCACUAAUUCUUUGUAAAUAAAAAGUUAAUUUGUUGAUGAAAUAUAUAUCAAGUUUAGCCCAUUU
This is a long non-coding RNA of Hydra vulgaris (swiftwater hydra), 461 nucleotides long. RefSeq lists it as uncharacterized. NCBI's taxonomy places the organism in Eukaryota, Metazoa, Cnidaria, Hydrozoa, Anthoathecata, Hydridae. The record is from RefSeq and is a predicted model, not a curated record.